GUCUAUGGCCAUGCUACCCUUCCCGAUCUUGUCUGAUCUCGGAAGCUAAGUAGGGUCGGGCCUAGUUAGUACUUGGAUGGGAGACCACCUAGAAAGACAGGUGCUGUAAGCG
This 112-nucleotide ribosomal RNA is filed under the name Pteropus alecto (black flying fox). The record is from RNAcentral. Lineage: Eukaryota; Metazoa; Chordata; Mammalia; Chiroptera; Pteropodidae.